This is a long non-coding RNA of Prionailurus viverrinus (fishing cat), 4058 nucleotides long. RefSeq lists it as uncharacterized. The transcript has 3 exons. NCBI's taxonomy places the organism in Eukaryota, Metazoa, Chordata, Mammalia, Carnivora, Felidae. The record is from RefSeq and is a predicted model, not a curated record.
GCUUGCGGAGACAGAGUGGAGCAGCAGAGAGGUACGGGGCUAUGUCUCCACUCUCCGCCAUGUGCAAACACUAACAAGACAACAAAACAAAACCUGUGGCAAGCAAAGCUUCAUUUUAGCCUGAUAUUUCCUCUAAAGAACGACAUCUAAGAAACAAACCCAAGGGAGGCCUGUGGCAUAUUCUUACCCUGGACCUUUUCUUCUUCUGGUAGGGUUAAUCAUAUGGUGGAGCAGAGUUCCAGGGAAGGCACGGAAGGAGGACAGCUGGAAAUGAGCAGCAAAGAAGGGUUCCACGCGGGCUUCUACCAGCUUCUCUGCCGCUGACCUGCUCUGCGAUGCCUCUCUUAUCCUGUGCUGGGGUUUCUCUGAUGCAGCGGCUGGGCUGCCUGGCACUCAGGUAUGCCCAGCCUGGAGAUGGGGAGUUAGUGCCAGGGUGCCACCCUUGAGGAGGGGGGAGUGGAAGCCAGUUGAUGCCCACUUCUCUAUUUCUUCCCUAGCUGACUGCUCUGGGAUACAUUCCAUAAGAUUCCUCAGAAGAUUCUGAGGGAUUGAGCACCAACUGACGACAGCCGUGGCCAAUUCAAGAAUUCAUCCUUGUGUUGGGGUUUACUUCCUUCGCCUUCACUCUCCCCGCCUCUCACAACUGCCCCCUGAGAUACAUGUUCAAGCAAACACACAGAAGAGAAAUUCUUACAGAAUUGGCCACAACAUCGAUAUCUUCACAAAGCCGUCUUUUCAAAGUGGUAAAUGCUUCUAGGAUGAGGUUGCUCUUGCAACCACGCAGAAAUAACGUGUUGGCUACGCAUAAUUUUGGUUUGUCACCAUUGAGCAUAAUCAUCAUAAUAAACGCAGUCAUCAUCUGGAUUAAGCAGCCUCGUUUGUAUGAAGACAAGUGUGGACCUGCAUUCAGAACAUCCCCUGGUUCAAAGCCCAGCGCUGCUACUAACAAAAAUUGGGCCCUGGAACGAGUUUCCUUAACCCUCUGAGUCUCGGUGUUCUCAUCUGCAAAAUAGGAUUAAAAUAUCUACCCCACCUCACAAAAUUUUUGUGGGGAUUCAGUGAAAGGAGAUAUUGCAAAUGGUGGCAAAUGGACUUCGCUUGGGAGCGAAGAAGAAGGGACUUCUUGUCACGGGGCUCAUCCUCAGCUGUGUUGAAAAAAACGUUCCGUGAGAAGCUAUGACUUACAUGUUAAGGAAAGAAUGUACUCUGUCUCAGGUGUAAUUCAUCUUGUAUCUAAAAAUGCAUGAUUCUAUGAAAUACAGCAUACUUAUUUCUCUCUCUCUCUUUUGUCCUUUGAGGAAAGUCUACCCAUUUCUUCUGAAGUAGCACUACUAUAUAAAGGAAACGCGUCUUUCUUGCCUUGUAAACAAUUUUUUCCCAUUAUUUUGUUCCUCUUUCCCAAACAGGACUUUUUUAGUGGGAAUGAAGAUAGAAGAAAAAGAGUUUAAUGAAAAGACAAACAUGGAUUCAAAUUUAUGAUCAUACUCACCUUCUUUUUUUUUUUUUAAAAAAGGAAAAAUAAUGAAGUUAAAGCAAAUUGGAUCACAAAGAAAAAAUCAGAUGUAUUAUGAAAAUAAUAACAUUUAUGUUUUCUCUCUGGAUUAUGUAGUUGUUAAACCAUAUAUUUCAUUUGUUGACUAUUUUGCGGUUAUCACUCUGUUUAUAAAAAUGAUUGCCAAUUUCAAGCCUCAUUCCGGAGAAUGAGCCAGAGGGCAUUGGGAUAGGUGCGCGCUAAUCCUAAAACUGUGUUUGAACAUGAGAGCUGGUUCUCCUUAGCAGGACUCAGGUGUUACAACCAAGGCUUAAGCCACAACAGAAUUAGAAAACUAUCCUUACAUGGAAAUCUUUUCUCAGAGGCAUAUAUUUUGAAUCUCUGUUUUCAAUGAACAGAGCAAGCAGGGGCUGUGAAAUGCAUUUUCAGUUGGGGAGAGGGAAAGGGGCUUGUGGAAGGUGGCUAGUUAAGGGAUGAAUUAAAUCUUUCCUUUAAAAAAAAAUAAAUCAGAAAAUCCAUGUUUGGACCAGGCAUUAGGAAUACUAUAGCCUUUGGUGCUCAGUCAAUGGGAAAUUUUAAUCAUAGAUCCUUGGGAAAUUGACCAGACUACUCAUUGUCCCACAGUAGAUGUCAAGUAUCUACCUGUCAUAGAAUUUCCUCCACCUGUUAGAAUUUGGAUGCCACUCUGGGGAGAGGUGGGUCUCAGCACUCUCUCAGAUGGUGCAAGUGCAGGGUGGGUUCUUGGCAGUGAGCAUCUCCUUGUAUUUUGCCUCUUACGUGCCUCUCUGUCCUCACCCUAGUGUUAGCCCUGAGAGGCACCCGACAAGGUCUGAGGGGUCUGAGAGUUAGUCAAUAUAACCAUUCGGGCAUCUCCCAGGCACGUGCAGAUCUGGGAGAGCACACUGGCUUGGGUGCUGCAAGAGCUCCAGUAAAGAGAAAAUGCUGGUUGCUAUGCCUCAACCUCAGCUGUGUAAAGUGACAGUUUACUCCUCUGACCAAAAUGUAUCUAGAAUGUUAGAAAGCACCUGUGCCUGAUGCAUCUCCCAGAGUCAGUCUAGGCUGGUCUGCCUGCCUAUGUGAGCAGCUGAGAAUGUAUUUUCAAAGCUGUCUAGUGACUAUUGCUCAAGUGGCUUACAGAUGUCUGGGUUGGUCCUCUGGUAGAUUCUCUCUGGAGCAUUCUCCCUAAUUCUGACCUUCUAUCCCUACUCCAGGGAUCUUGAGACCCACCUCUCUAUUCUGUUUGGGGAUGUGGCAAUGACAGUUGAUAUUCUUCUGGUCAGAAUGCCCAGAUGCUGGUUCUCAGCUGUGUCUUCUCCAUUGUAGGGGAUGAAAUUGUUCUUGGAAGAGUUUUAGGACCUGAUGUCCUCACUUAUUGGAUUUUGCAUAUUUAGACAAAGCUUUUCCUUAUGAUUCCCAGAUAUGGCUCCUUCUCCUCUACUCCCCAAAGCACCUGGCUAAUAUCUGUUUAUUGCUUUCUCUGCCCUGUAUCCACAGUGCCUACUGUAUACAUCUUGGCCUCACCAGACUAUGGGCCCCACAAGUCCAAGGACAAUGUCUUAUUUAGCUCUGAUUCUCCACAGCAGGUAAUCCAGCACCUGAGGGUUGAGAUGUGUCCCAGAAAGAAUUCUUAAAUGAAUCAAUGGGUAAAUAAUUGAAUUUAUCACUCUGGAAGGGAAUUCAUCAAAAAUUUUGCUUCUUUUUUAAGUAUUUUUAAAUAUUUAUUUUUGAGAGAGAGUGCGAACAGAGGAAGAGAGAGAGAGGGAGCCACAGAAUCUGAAGCAGGUUCCAGACUCUGAGCUGUCAGCACAGAGCCUGACACGGGGCUCAAACUCAAAAACUGUGACAUGACCUGAGCUGAAGUCAGACCUGAGCCACCCAGGCACCCCCAAAAUUUUUGCUCCUAGUUGGACAGAAAAGUAUUCUUCUUGGUUCUCAAGCUUCUCUGUACUCAUCAAAGUACUGCAUUUGGAAGGUGUUGUGGUAACUGAGUGAUGGCCAGAGGAAGCAUGAAAACAGAUGAUGGAAAGAAACAUUACUGUGAGUCAAGCUUAGGUAUUUGUUUAGAUAAUAAGGGGUAAUGCCAGAGUUAGUAAUGAGGGAGACUAGACACUUUAAAAAGUACAAAAUGAAGAAAUAAUUGCUAGUUGGGAUCCUGCUGCUUUAGAAUGUCCGUGAAAAUGUUAGCAAAUUGUAUUUAUGUGGGAUCAGAUCCCUAGACUCUAUUAUUCCAAAUAUAUUGUAAAAUUGUUAUGACUCAGGAUCGCGUAUCCAUGUGGUUGAUCCAGGAAUGUCAUGAUGUGAUAGAAUGAUUCCUCAACGUGCCCCUCUACCAUUGUCUGGUUGGUUGCUUUUGAAUGAGGCAUUUAAAUUAUAGAUCAAUUUUUGUAUAGAAAACAAACAGAAUAGGCUAAGUGAUGCCUAUGAUCUUUCCAAUCUCUAAAAUGUUACAAUUUUAUACUUUCAGGUGGUUUUGAAAAAGACACAAUUAUUCAGAGUGCUCUUUAUGGGGAAAAAAAAAGAUCCAUACAUACUCUUUUCCGUGAAUAUAAUUUAAAUAUUUCAAUGU